Molecule: ribosomal RNA, 496 nt
Filed under: uncultured bacterium
Lineage: Bacteria
Description: partial 16S ribosomal RNA
Rfam family: Bacterial small subunit ribosomal RNA
Source: RNAcentral
AUGAACGCUGGCGGCGUGCCUCAUACCUGCAAGUCGAGCGAACAGACGAGGAGCUUGCUCCUCUGACGUUAGCGGCGGACGGGUGAGUAACACGUGGAUAACCUACCUAUAAGACUGGGAUAACUUCGGGAAACCGGAGCUCAUACCGGAUAAUAUAUUGAACCGCAUGGUUCAAUAGUGAAAGUCGGUUUUGCUGUCACUUAUAGAUGGAUCCGCGCCGCAUUAGCUAGUUGGUAAGGUAACGGCUUACCAAGGCAACGAUGCGUAGCCGACCUGAGAGGGUGAUCGGCCACACUAGAACUGAGACACGGUCCAGACUCCUAAGGGAGGCAGCAGUAGGGAAUCUUCCGCAAUGGGCGAAAGCCUGACGGAGCAACGGCGCGUGAGUGAUGAAGGUCUUCGGAUCGUAAAACUCUGUUAUUAGGGAAGAACAAAUGUGUAAGUAACUAUGCACGUCUUGACGGUACCUAAUCAGAAAGCCACGGCUAACUACGUG